AGAGUUUGAUCCUGGCUCAGGAUGAACGCUGGCGGCGUGCUUAACACAUGCAAGUCGAACGAUGAUGCCAGCUUGCUGGUGGAUUAGUGGCGAACGGGUGAGUAACACGUGAGUAACCUGCCCUUGACUCUGGGAUAAGCCUGGGAAACUGGGUCUAAUACCGGAUAUGACCUUCCAUCGCAUGGUGGUUGGUGGAAAGCUUUUGUGGUUUUGGAUGGACUCGCGGCCUAUCAGCUUGUUGGUGGGGUAAUGGCCUACCAAGGCGACGACGGGUAGCCGGCCUGAGAGGGUGACCGGCCACACUGGGACUGAGACACGGCCCAGACUCCUACGGGAGGCAGCAGUGGGGAAUAUUGCACAAUGGGCGAAAGCCUGAUGCAGCGACGCCGCGUGAGGGAUGACGGCCUUCGGGUUGUAAACCUCUUUCAGUAGGGAAGAAGCGUAAGUGACGGUACCUGCAGAAGAAGCGCCGGCUAACUACGUGCCAGCAGCCGCGGUAAUAC
Molecule: ribosomal RNA, 503 nt
Filed under: uncultured bacterium
Lineage: Bacteria
Description: bacterial SSU rRNA
Rfam family: Bacterial small subunit ribosomal RNA
Source: RNAcentral